Molecule: long non-coding RNA, 668 nt
Filed under: Homo sapiens (human)
Lineage: Eukaryota; Metazoa; Chordata; Mammalia; Primates; Hominidae
Description: HSALNT0319673
Source: RNAcentral
ACCCCUGCUGACACCCUGUAGGGGAUAAAGCCGGAAUCUUCAGAAGGAAAAAAUCAUGAGUUUUCUACACUCAGAAAUUAAUGCUCAGGCAUGAAGAGUAAGCCUGGAGCUGGGGCAGAAGGCCUUUGAGAAGUCUGGCCUGGGCAUCUCCUGAGAGGGGCUUUCAUUCUUUUCUUUUUUUCAUUCUACAAAUGAUUCCUGCACAUCGACUGCAUUCAAGGGGAUGCAACGUUGACAAGACAGACAAGGUCCUUGCCCUCCUGGGAUGACUUCUAAGGGGGCAGAGACUAACCUAUGAAAAAGCAAGGGCUAUGGAUCAAGUAUUCUUUGAAGUGCCCUGUUCACUUCAUGGUUCUGUAGAGAAUUAGAAAACUUCCAGGAGUUUCCAAGAAUGCUGAUAUCCAGUUCACCACUUUACCCACUGGUGAGGAGAAGAAAGUCAAAGGAAACCAUAUGUCUUAGACCUUAGUCUCCACUGGUGACCUCUGUCUACCUUGACCCUUUCUCUAUCAGGUUGGAAGAAGCCUUGGAGGGCACACAGAAGCACUUCCUCCUUUUACAAACAAGAAAAGGGACAGAGUGACAACUUUAAAAAAAUCUACAUCUGAAGUUAGUUCUAUAGUUUCCUAUCUCCAGAAGAGGCAGAAAUGAACUCCACCAUGCCUAAA